AAUCAACGCUGGCGGCGUGCCUAACACAUGCAAGUCGAACGCGAAAGUCCCGCAAGGGGUGAGUAGAGUGGCAAACGGGUGAGUAACGCGUGGGCGACCUACCUUCGAGUGGGGGAUAACCUUCCGAAAGGAGGGCUAAUACCGCAUGACAUCCCGUGUUUGGAGACACGGACAUCAAAGCCGGGGAUCGCAAGACCUGGCGCUUGGAGAGGGGCCCGCGUCCGAUUAGCUAGUUGGUGGGGAACGGCCCACCAAGGCUCCGAUCGGUAUCCGGCCUGAGAGGGCGGACGGACACACUGGGACUGAGACACGGCCCAGACUCCUACGGGAGGCAGCAGUGGGGAAUUGUUCGCAAUGGGCGCAAGCCUGACGACGCAACGCCGCGUGGAGGAUGAAGACC
This 400-nucleotide ribosomal RNA is filed under the name uncultured bacterium. RNAcentral's name for it is "bacterial SSU rRNA". It matches the Rfam family "Bacterial small subunit ribosomal RNA", at positions 29 to 416 of the family's 1533-position model. The record is from RNAcentral.